AUUUUCUGGUCUUUUUGCAACUUUAAUGGCAGCUGCUGCUGCUGCCCCAGAUGAAAUUCCAACCAGUAAUCCUUCCUGAAGAGCCAAUUGCUUUGCUGUCUCAACAGCCUCAUCACUAGAUAUCUCAAUCACUUCAUCGAGAACUUCACUAUCCAAGUUCCUUGGAACAAAUCCUGCCCCAAUGCCUUGAAUCUUAUGUGGGCCAGGUUUUCCACCAGAGAGUAUGUUACUCUCAGAAGGCUCAAUACCAAUAACCUUAAUUCCAGGAUUUUUCUCUUUCAGGAAACGGCCAGCACCAG
This 299-nucleotide unclassified non-coding RNA is filed under the name Hevea brasiliensis (rubber tree). Lineage: Eukaryota; Viridiplantae; Streptophyta; Magnoliopsida; Malpighiales; Euphorbiaceae. The record is from RNAcentral.